Molecule: transfer RNA, 76 nt
Filed under: compost metagenome
Description: tRNA-Thr
Rfam family: tRNA
About the family: Transfer RNA (tRNA) molecules are approximately 80 nucleotides in length. Their secondary structure includes four short double-helical elements and three loops (D, anti-codon, and T loops).
Source: RNAcentral
GCCGCUAUAGCUCCAACGGUAGAGCGUCUGACUUGUAAUCAGAGGGUUCGGGGUUCAAGUCCUCGUGGCGGCACCA